This 2586-nucleotide long non-coding RNA is filed under the name Sus scrofa (pig). RNAcentral describes it as "lncRNA (ENSSSCG00040037630.1)". The record is from RNAcentral. Lineage: Eukaryota; Metazoa; Chordata; Mammalia; Artiodactyla; Suidae.
UUUUUUUUUUUUUAUGCUAAGCCAGUGGCAUAUGGAAGUUCCCAGUUGUUACUGCUUCUGUUGGUAAGACCAUUUUCUCUUGGGUUCUAUUCCCUUUACAGUGGCCAAGUAUUGAUCAAGAGCUCUUACGGUUACAAAUAAUCUUCCACACCAUAGUUCCUAUUAUGAGGGAAAACUCCGGUCCCAUGGCAAAGCCAGUGGUGUCAGCCUGCACCAUGGAUUCCUUCCUCCCCUAUAAGUAAUGCUACUGUCCAGGUCAGUGGAUCUGACCAUCAGAUGCCUGUGGCCACCUAACCUCUUACUCACUGCCCCCUCCCAUUACAGCAUCUAAACAAUUGAGAAGUGGACAGAAGAGCUACGUGGGAUCAAUUUUCCAACAUGGUUAAUGGUGGAUCAGCGAGAGGAACUGGUCACAGUGCGAUAUCCUCUUUCCUCCUCCUCGAUGCGAAGGAAGCAGGGCUCGGCCUCUCACCCUCCCUGUGCAGGUACAAAAGCGAGCACCAGAAUGCAUCUCCUUUAUCGACUACCUGUCAGAACACAGGCGGGGACACCUGAGAUAAGGCCACAGAGGAAGAGAGAGAGGAGAGGAGAGGACAAGCCAGAAAGCAUGCUUGGAUGGUAACCUUUAAUAUGGCAAAACCACCAAUUACUAAUUUAGGAUAGUCGUCUAUUUUUUUUAAUAUUUUUAUCACUUAAAAAUUAAAUAAAUAAAAUCAUUCUAUUGCGUGAAAUAGCAGAUUGAGUCAAACAGCAGAUUCCGAGGUGUAUCUCCAUCUGGAUAGACCUGGCUAUUUGUUCAUUGUUUUCCAGUGAGGCAGACACUGUUGCUUGGCAGUCAUGUCUGAAGGGUCAUUUCCAGGCCCUACUACCUUAGCUACAUUUUCAGUAUUGCUCUAAAAGCUAAAACUUGAUCUCCUGGCCUGCCCUGAAUUAGAGCUGGCCUUGUGACAGUCCAGGUGUGGCCAGCAGGAGACAGGAAAUCACCCCUGGGGAAGGAGUCUGUGGUAGGCAGAAUAAUGCCCCCACAGUUCUCCAUGUCUUAAGCACUGGAAUUUGUGAAUAUGUUUCCGUCUCUAGAGAGAGGGACUCUGCAGAGGGGUUAAAGGCAAGGACCUUGAGAUGGGGAGAUCCUUCUGGAUGAUCCAGGUAGGUCCCAUGUUCCCCCAAGGGUCCUUAUAAGUGAAAGAGGAGCAGGAGACUCAGAGAAGGAGACGUGACCACAGCAGCAUCAGGGCGAUGGGAUGAGAGACUCAACCAGCCACUGCUGGUUUUGAACCUUGGAAGGAUUCACAAGCCAAGGCAUGCGGGUGGCCUCUGAGGCUAGAAAAAUCAAGGAUAUGGAUUCUCCCCUCGAGUCUUCAGAAAAAAAGCCCACCCCACACCUCUCCUUUAGCCUCCUGGGAAUCCUUUUGGACUUCUGACUCUACCCUUGGGUUGUUUUUAGCCACUGCUGUUUUUGUGUGAAGUCUGUGGCCGUUUGUUCCAGCCGCCAUUAGGAACCACACAGUGCCUCUUCCCAAAUAAACAAGCUUUGCCCUCUCUCUCCUUCCGCCUUCUUGCUGCAUGGGCUGUGGACUCAGGAUCCAGCAGGAGGGCAGCCUUCUUGCAGGUUUCCAGCAACCCCCAAGGAUGAAAGAUGCAUGCUCAGGAGGGCAGAGCAGAGCCAGCAUCUCUGGUGGCUUCACCGAGCCACCAGCCCUGGGCUGCCCACCUCUCAACUUCCUGUCACAGGAGACAAAUACAAUGUGGUAUGUUUAAGUCACUGUAGCAGGACUUUGAGCAGUGGUGUCCCGGGGCUGACUCAACCAGCUCCUGCGAAGGAGGUUGUCAAAAUUUUCGGAACUUCAUGGGCCAGUUGUUAAACAUGGACAUUAUUAAAAACCAAGUUAUACAACCUUACAACCAAAUAAAUCACAUUAAAAAGAAAGUUAAUAGACACUCAGAACUCUUUGAUUUCUAAGUAUUUUACGAGUUUUACUACUAUCUGUGUUCUGGAGACUACUGUAUGUGAAGGGUGGAGACAUCAUAUUUCUCCCAGUUCUGUCUCAUGUACACAGAAUACACUAUGCAUCAUCGCCACGCCACAUUCAGUUCCAUCUCACUGGAAGCUUACAACCAGCCAUGGUGGGAGUAAUUGAAUGAUGGAAAUCAGCAAACACUACAAAUCAGGGUUUUAUUUUUCUCCAGAGAGUUAAUUGUUAAUAAUUUACUGAUCUGCCCCUGGAUUUGUGUUUCUGCAGCCAAAUGCCUUUCUAAUUGAUGCAUCCCUAAUGCUUUUUAAUGAUACUUGUCAGCUCAAAUUGUAUUUGCAGGGGACUGGAUUCUCCUUGUUUCUCUUUUAAAUAAAAGAUCUGGGAGUUUCCCGUCGUGGCUCGGGCGGAAACAAAGCUGACUAGGAUUCAUGAGGAUGAAGGUUCAAUCCCUGGCCUCACUCAGUGGGUUAAGGAUCCGGCAUUGCUGUGAGCUGUGGCAUGGGUUACAGAUGCGGCUCGGAUCUGAUGUUGCUGUGGCUGUGGUGUAGGCCAGUAGCAGCAGCUCUGAUUCAACACUUAUUCUGGGAACCUCCAUAUGCUGCAGGGGCAGCCC